UUGCAUUGGAGUCUGAGUGAGAGUUUUAAAUGGCUUUGGUAAUGCAGACAAGAUUCAUAAUUUAUCUCCACUCUUGUCCAGAAAGCAGUGAGUCACAGAAAAUCCUUGAAAACACUGAAUAAUUAAGUGGGCAUUGCAGUAUUUUAUUUUUCACGUCACUGUCCCCAUCUGGGAACCCAUACCUGAAAUGGUGCAUUGAGCCUGAAAUUCAGUCAGAUUCCUGCAAGCAAAUCUGAACAUGUAAAGGAUCAUGGCUGAAACUGCAGUUUGCUUGGGAACAUUCUCUGCUGUGAAGACACUCUGGGAAGUGAGAAUACACAAGAUAAAUGAAGAAUUACGGAGAGAAAAGGAAUUCAGGCAGAGGUCUGCAGGAAGGCUACUGCUUGUCUGGGAGGAGAGAGCUGCUUUAGCAAAGCUUAAAGAAAAAGUUAUUAAUGAAGGUGGAAGAGCAAUUUUAAGGAUAGAGGAAGAAGAAUGGAAGACAUUACCUUCAUGCUUACUGAAAUUAAUCCAUCUCCAGGAAUGGCAGCUUCACAGAACUAGUUUACAGAAAAUUCCUCAGUUUAUUGGAAGAUUUCACAGCCUUGUUGUUCUGGAUCUAUCCCGGAACUCAAUUGAAAGUGUACCUAAAGAAAUUGGCCAGCUGACCAGCCUCCAAGAGCUGCUUCUCAGUUACAACAGAAUAAAAUCUGUUCCUAAGGAAAUAAGUAACUGCAUCAGUCUGGAAAGAUUGGAACUGGCUGUCAACAGAAAUAUCUGUGAUCUUCCUCCUCAGCUCAGUGAUUUAAAGAAGCUGUCACACAUAGAUCUGUGCAUGAAUCAGUUUACUGCCAUCCCUUCAGCUCUCCUCAACAUGCCAAAUCUCGAAUGGUUAGAUAUGGGGGGAAACAAACUCCAGGAGCUUCCUGACACAAUUGACAGAAUGGAAAACCUCCACACUUUAUGGCUCCAAAGGAAUGAAAUAAACUCUUUGCCAGAAACCAUUGGUAAUAUGAAAAAUCUUAGUACUCUUGUUCUUAGCAACAACAAACUUAAGGAUAUUCCAGCUUGUAUGAAGGACAUGACAAAUCUGAGAUUUGUCAACUUCAGAGACAACCCACUGGAGCUAGAGGUAACACUCCCUCCAUGUGAGAACACAGACGAGGAGGAGCAACAGGAAAUGUUUGGCAUUGACUUCAUGCACAUGUAUAUCCAGGAAUCACUGAAGAAAACAGGAAAUGUGGAAAGUUGUACUUCUGGUUCUCCUCCUGUCAUGAAUCCUAAUGAAUAAAGAAUGUAACUGUGAAUGGAAGAAAAUAUCAAGUACACUUCUUCGCAGGAAAGAGGCUACAACAGUUGGCUCUGGUAUCAAAGAAGGAUUUGGGACAGCUGUCAACAGGACAUUCUCCAAGGACACAGCAGACUCUGUAUAAUACUGCAGUGCAGCCUUGUAUCCGUGCUGUUGUAAAUACUCAAUG
Molecule: RNA transcript, 1457 nt
Organism: Pyrgilauda ruficollis (rufous-necked snowfinch)
Lineage: Eukaryota; Metazoa; Chordata; Aves; Passeriformes; Passeridae
Gene: LRRC39
Gene name: leucine rich repeat containing 39
Exons: 10
Source: RefSeq, a predicted model, not a curated record